AUUGAACGCUGGCGGCAGGCCUAACACAUGCAAGUCGAGCGAGCGGCGGACGGGUGAGUAAUGUCUGGGAAACUGCCUGCUGGAGGGGGAUAACUACUGGAAACGGUAGCUAAUACCGCAUACCCUCAGAUGUGCCCAGAUGGGAUUAGCUAGUAGGUGGGGUAACGGCUCACCUAGGCGACGAUCCCUCGCUGGUCUGAGAGGAUGACCAGCAACACUGGAACGGAGACACGGUCCAGACUCCUACGGGAGGCAGCAGUGGGGAAUAGUGGACAAUGGGCGAAAGCCUGAUGCAGCCAUGCCGCGUGUGUGAAGAAGGCCUUCGGGUUGUAAAGUACUUUAAGCGGGGAGGCGUUACCCGCAGAAGAAGCACCGGCUAACUCCGUGCCAGCAGCCGCGGUAAUUC
This 406-nucleotide ribosomal RNA is filed under the name uncultured bacterium. RNAcentral describes it as "partial 16S ribosomal RNA". It matches the Rfam family "Bacterial small subunit ribosomal RNA", at positions 30 to 526 of the family's 1533-position model. The record is from RNAcentral.